Molecule: long non-coding RNA, 729 nt
Filed under: Triticum aestivum (bread wheat)
Lineage: Eukaryota; Viridiplantae; Streptophyta; Magnoliopsida; Poales; Poaceae
Description: long non-coding RNA (TAES_LNC006098)
Source: RNAcentral
CUCAAGUCCUGUGGGGUGCUGGGCUAAAGGUGUUCCAUAUACAUGAACCAUAAACUGGAAUUGAAAUUAUUCUCCGCACGCACAAGUAAAACCUAUGCAAAGUGAACAAUCUCACAGUUGCAGCUUAUAUUCAGUACUUCUUCAUUACAACUGUCGGUUUCAAAGCAUUUUCUUUCUCUAAUUCUGCAAUUUUAUAAACUGCAACUCAGUUUUGCCCACAAAUGUUUUGCUCCUCAUAAAACUAAUUUUCUACUAACUGAUUUUCGUAUUUCCAUUAUAGUUUAUUCAUUACCAUGGUCAAGGAAUUAUCAGCGUUUUUUCUGACUUGGUCAACUUACCCUUGCAGUAAUCUGCCAUAAAAGACAGAAUGUAAGAAAGGGUCUACUUUAGCAGUUGAGAUCGAGAUGCUACUCCAAUCUAUAUAUGAAACCAAAUCAGGUGGGCUCGAUGACAAAGAGGUAAUAAGAGAUGAACUCUUCCAGUAUAAAAAGUUGAUGGUCCUAAUUAGUUUAUAGCUUAUUUCUUGAUCACUUUAAUUUACACGACAUCUCCAGGGCUUUUCGUGUUCUGUGGUAAUAUAUUUGAUUAUAGUCACAGCUUACGCAAGAUGAUUAUUUACGUUCCUAAUUUAUCUUCCUCUAUCAUGGUGGUAGGGAAACAUCGCCGUUAGUUUGCCUGAGAUAGAAGGGCUUCACAUAAUUUUGUCAAUAGCAUUGAUCAGGAUAUCUU